This is a long non-coding RNA of Nerophis ophidion (straightnose pipefish), 524 nucleotides long. RefSeq lists it as uncharacterized. The record is from RefSeq and is a predicted model, not a curated record. Lineage: Eukaryota; Metazoa; Chordata; Actinopteri; Syngnathiformes; Syngnathidae. The transcript has 3 exons.
GGAGCUCCUCGAUCUUGCGGCGCAGGCUGUCUGUCUCAAUGAUCUGCUGUCUGUUUUUAGCCUGCUGCUCUGAGAUGAUUUGUUUUUGUUGGGAAGACUGCAGUUGGAUCUCCUGUAUGGAGGAGCGCACUGAGCGAAGCUUCUCCUCCAACGAUGAUACAUGUGCCUGCUGCUCACAGGAGUCAGGAUUGGAAAGAAGGGGAACAGUCAGAAGAGGGCAAAUGUGAGAUGGAGCCUAUCCCAGCUGACUGUGAGCAAGUGGCUGGGCACACCCUGGACCUGCUGCAAUCCCAUUCACACCAAUGGACGAUUUCAAGUCUCCAACUUACCUAACAUGCUUCAUUUUGAAAUGUGGGCAAAAGCAUGGGGAGAAGAUGCAAACUCCACACACAGAUGCGAGAACGAAGAUUCAACCCUCAAUCUCCUGAUGGGUCGCGGGGGGCACUGGCGCUUAUCUCAGCUACAAUCGGACGGAAGGCGGGGUACACCCUGGACAAGUCUCCACCUCAUCGCAGGGUAAAGGG